Molecule: long non-coding RNA, 485 nt
Organism: Triticum dicoccoides
Lineage: Eukaryota; Viridiplantae; Streptophyta; Magnoliopsida; Poales; Poaceae
Exons: 4
Source: RefSeq, a predicted model, not a curated record
CCCCCCUCCUCUCCAGCAGCUCGGCGGAGACAAAAGAGGAGGUCACCGGGAGAUGACGAAAGAUCAAAGGAGGAUGAUUUGCAAGGUCGAUCGACAUAUGCGACAAAGAUCCUGUUGUGCACAAGCAUACUCCAUACCUUGUUAUCCUCGUGAGGCUUGCAGAAAAAUGGGUCGAUGCGCCUGAUGGUCAGUGACCUUCGGCCAGGCAAGAGAAAAGGGAAUUUAAGGACCUAAUUCGAGCCGUAUGCUUAAACCGCGAGUCAUCCAAGAAGUGGUCCAGUUUUACACAGUGCUCCUAAUAGUACAAUUAAGGAAAAACAGUUAACUCCCUCAAUGAUUUGGCCCUUGACUCCCUCUCAAUAUGGUUUCCCGAUGCAUAAUGGACUACCAAACAAUGUUAAGGAGCCAUAGGUAAGCAAGAAUUCACAAUUAACAGUCCUUGUGGCAUUUACAUACAUGUUGGGUUCAGAUAGACAUAUGAAAUA